UCCGUAGGUGAACCUGCGGAGGGAUCAUUGCUGGAACGCGCCCCAGGCGCACCCAGAAACCCUUUGUGAACUUAUACCUUACUGUUGCCUCGGCGCAUGCUGGCCCCCUCGGGGUCCCCUGGAGACAGGGAGCAGGCACGCCGGCGGCCAAGUUAACUCUUGUUUUUACACUGAAACUCUGAGAAAAAAAACACAAAUGAAUCAAAACUUUCAACAACGGAUCUCUUGGUUCUGGCAUCGAUGAAGAACGCAGCGAAAUGCGAUAAGUAAUGUGAAUUGCAGAAUUCAGUGAAUCAUCGAAUCUUUGAACGCACAUUGCGCCCUCUGGUAUUCCGGAGGGCAUGCCUGUUCGAGCGUCAUUUCAACCCUCAAGCAUUGCUUGGUGUUGGGGCACUGCCUGUAAAAGGGCAGGCCCUGAAAUCUAGUGGCGAGCUCGCUAGGACCCCGAGCGUAGUAGUUAAACCCUCGCUUUGGAAGGCCCUGGCGGUGCCCUGCCGUUAAACCCCCAACUUUUGAAAAUUUGACCUCGGAUCAGGUAGGAAUACCCGCUGAACUUAAGCAUAUCAAUAAGCGGAGGA
RNAcentral lists this ribosomal RNA (578 nucleotides) under Phomopsis sp. JF03. RNAcentral describes it as "eukaryotic LSU rRNA". The stretch from base 206 to 359 matches the Rfam family "5.8S ribosomal RNA". The record is from RNAcentral. Lineage: Eukaryota; Fungi; Ascomycota; Sordariomycetes; Diaporthales; Diaporthaceae.